AGGGUAAUAGCUCAGUGGUAGAGCACAUGCUUAGCAUGCACGAGGUCCUGGGUUCAAUCCCCAGUACCUCUA
Molecule: transfer RNA, 72 nt
Filed under: Camelus ferus (Wild Bactrian camel)
Lineage: Eukaryota; Metazoa; Chordata; Mammalia; Artiodactyla; Camelidae
Rfam family: tRNA
About the family: Transfer RNA (tRNA) molecules are approximately 80 nucleotides in length. Their secondary structure includes four short double-helical elements and three loops (D, anti-codon, and T loops).
Source: Rfam by way of RNAcentral